Non-coding RNA from Sarcophilus harrisii (Tasmanian devil), 509 nucleotides. The record is from the annotation of a RefSeq genome assembly. Lineage: Eukaryota; Metazoa; Chordata; Mammalia; Dasyuromorphia; Dasyuridae.
CCGAGCCCGGACCCAGCCGGUUCUCUCUGGGGAGCAGAGCUCUCGGCGUCCCCUGCACCAUGGCCUGGCCUCUCGUCUGCCUCCUCCUGCUCACCUGCUGCUCAGGUUCCUUCUCCCAGCCUGUGCUGACUCAGGCUCCCUCCAUGUCUGCGUCCCUGGGAGCCACGGCCAGACUCUCCUGCACCCUCAGCAGUGAAUACAGCGAUUAUGGAAUUACAUGGCAGCAGCAGAGCCCGGGAAAGGCCCCUCGGUACCUCAUGUAUGUUCACAGCGAUGGAGAUGUACUCAAGGGCGAGGGGGUCCCCGACCGCUUCUCGGGUUCUGCCUCUGGGGCCGAUCGCUUCUUGUCCAUCAGCAACAUCCAGGCCGAGGACGAGGCCGAUUACUACUGUGUGAGAGGUUAUAGUGAUAGUUUACACCGUGCUACAUUCAGGGAGGAAGUGGGACAAAAACCCCCCUGCCAGCCCGGCCCCCGCCCCCCACAGCUGCCCUGACUUCUGGCCCAGCCC